Molecule: ribosomal RNA, 468 nt
Filed under: uncultured bacterium
Lineage: Bacteria
Description: partial 16S ribosomal RNA
Rfam family: Bacterial small subunit ribosomal RNA
Source: RNAcentral
GACGAACGCUGGCGGCGUGCUUAACACAUGCAAGUCGAACGGAAAGGCCCGGCUUUUGUGGUGUGCUCGAGUGGCGAACGUGUGAGUAACAUGUGAGUAACCUGCCUUUUACGUUGGGAUAACGUCAAGAAACUGGGGCUAAUACGGGAUAUGAGCGCCUGCUGCAUGGUGGGGGUUGGAAGGUUUCGGCGGUUGGUGUUGGACUCGCGGCUUAUCAGCUUGUUGGUGGGGUAGUGGCUUACCAAGGCUUUGACGGGUAGCCGGCCUGAUAGGGUGACCGGCCACAUUGGGCCUGAGAUAAGGCCCAGACUCCUACGGGAGGCAGCAGUGGGGAAUAUUGCACUAUGGGCGGAAGCCUGAUGCAGCAACGCCGCGUGCGGGAUGACGGCCUUCGGGUUGUAACCCGCUUUCGCCUGUGACGAAGCGUGAGUGACGGUAAUGGGUAAAGAAGCACCGGCUAACUACGUG